This is a long non-coding RNA of Chinchilla lanigera (long-tailed chinchilla), 4717 nucleotides long. RefSeq lists it as uncharacterized. The record is from RefSeq and is a predicted model, not a curated record. The transcript has 3 exons. Lineage: Eukaryota; Metazoa; Chordata; Mammalia; Rodentia; Chinchillidae.
UUGCUUUUGUCUCUCUGGAGAAACUAAAUAUAGGUUUUGAUGCUGAGAACCAGGCCUUGCUUUGACAAACAUCUAAAGACGCAGGUGCGGUUUUGGAGCUGGACAGGUAGUCGUAGAACCUAGAAAUUCUGAGCAGGUCCCCGGAAAUACUGAAAAGAAGGCUGGUUGGUGACACUGCACACAGAAAUGAGGAGGACUUCAAACUAGAGGAAAGGCUGGCCUGGUUACCAGUAGCAAGUAACUUGGUUACUUAGUAGCAAGUAUCCUGGUUACCAGUAGCAAGUAACCUGGUUACUCAGUAGCAGCUAGCCCAAUUGAAUUAUGGUCUACCGCUUUGUGCCAGGCACAGCUUGAGAACAAUAAAACUGGGUCUUUAGCCAAGGAGAUUUGCAAGCAAAAUACGUGGGUGUGGCUUGGGUCCUCCUCCGCUCACAGGAAAACAGGAGGAAAGAGCGGGGAGCUGCAUAAGGAACCUCUGUGCAAUAAGGAUGAACUUGGAGCUUCAGGAAAUUGUGAAACUGUCUAGAUCAAAAAAAGCGAGAAAGCCUGCGCUGCAGAGAGCGUCAAGCAGCGGCCCAACAGCCGCCUGACAGAGGUCCUGCGCGCGCGGCUUGGAUGGAGUCAGCACCCAGCAGGAGCCAGCGAUGGAGGAAAGCAGCAGCGAGGGGCCGUGAAACAAUGCGGGGUGCGGACUGCAGGAAGUGAGGAGGCGUGGAGCCGCUUGGAUCCCACAGGGAGGCCACCGUGCUCACCGGCUGGGAGACUGCCUUCUCCCAGAACGCAGGUUCCAGCCCGAGAGCACUCGGUCUCAGGAUGGAGACUUCUGUGGCUCUUCAGAGUGACCACCUGCUGCAGUCCGUGUUUCUGUUCCUCCAGAAUUGCUGUUGAGCUCUCAUCCCCGAAGUGCUGGUAUUAAGCAGCGGGACAUCUGGAAGGUGACAAGGUCAUGAGGACAGAACCCUCCUGCCUGGGACCAGGGCCCUGAAAAGGCCCAAGGAAGCAGCUCAUCCUUCUACAGAGCCAUCUCUGAAGGGGACGGAACUGCUCCAGGGCGUGACCGUGCUUGUGCCGUGGCCUUGGGCCUCCCAACCUCUGCAACGGCGAGCAAUCAAUUUCUGUUAUCGGAAAGUAUUUUUCGGCAGCAAAUACCCACUCUAAGGUAUUUCGUGAUAGCAGCCCAAACAAGCUAGACAGGAAACGGUACCCAGAGGUGGUGCCACUACAGGAAAUGCCUAGGAAUGUGGAGGUGACUCUGAGCUGGGUGGUGGCCGAGGCUGGAGGAGUUCCUAGGUGCCGUGCUGUGACCGGCGCCCUCAGUGUGACGCUGGCGAAGGCUCCCACCAGAGCUGCACAGGACUUCAGUCUCCAGGAGGCCACCCGCGGGGUCAUGAGCAGAGGCUGGCAGAAACAUGGAUGCUACGGUGUCCCAUAGGGCUCAGUCUUGGGAGGGCUCACGUGAGAACAAGGAGGCGGUAGGUGGUGUCUCAGGUAUGACUUCUAGGGGAGCAGCGGCGCUAACUGAAGAGGAACACUCAUCAGCGGUAAGAUGCAAGGGGCAUGGGAGCUCGGACAGGAAGAUUUCACGUUGUGGCACAGGUACCUCCAGUCGGGCACCAUUAGCAGCGCUUUGUUCCUGCAAAGAAAAUAGCUACAGCUGCGAUCGCUAGGUGGCCAGUCAGGAGUGCAGACAGGCUGCACCUGAUGGUUCAAGCUCCGACCAGGCGGGUUGCUUCCUAUUUUGAGAAAUAUCCCUGAAUAGGGGUAAAAUAUAUAAGUAUUGAUGGAAUUUACGGUUUUUAUUGAGUCAACUGUAGGAGCACAAGAAGCAGGAGAGAGCACGGAAGAGACCCAAGAAUCACCCAGCCAAGCCUGACCUAAGUGGCAAACUCAGAAAGGUGUGAGUGUGAUCAGCGGGCGUUGUUUCCAAUGCCUGGCUUUUGGGUUGCUUGUUAUACAGCCAUAGCUCACUGAUACAAAAAGCCUCUGAAUUUCAAUUUCUAGCAUUGCCCUUCUAAGAAAGAGACUUUUCUCUUCACCCCUUGUGUGAUUCUCACAGUAACUCUAGUAAGAGAUUGUGAGGCCUGCUCUACACGUGAGGAAAGGGACAACACAGAGGUCAAGUGAAUUCUUCCAGUUAAAGAAAAUCUAAAUUAGUGACAAGAUUGGAAUUAAAGCCGGUCACAUCUGAUUCUAAAUCACUGAGGUUAACACCUGUAGUCACAAGUGGUGGUUUUUAACUUACUGACCUGUCUUUAAUUUUCAGUUAGGUUUCUAAGUGUGUUCAAAUUAUUCCUUAAGGAUACUUCUUCUUUAUUAAAACUUAACCUUUCUCUUAAAAAUCAAAAUGAACUGAGUCACAACAAAUACCCCACAUCAGAGAAGUUCCUGUCACCAAGUCACUCCGCAGGUGAGUGGGUCUUAUCUGCGUCAGGACAGAAGCAGUGCCAUCUCUGCCGCGGUCCUCCUCGGCUGCCCGAAGCGACGGAGAAUAAACCCUGAAUCUCCGUGCUCCUUUUCUUGGCAAAAGAUUGAUGUGCUGAGUGCAGCAAGUGGAAUCUAGGGAAAGAUUUGCUUACAUUUUCUCUUCGGAGUUCCCUCACGAUAAAGGUGCUCCCAGGGACAAAGCAGCAUCCUGGCUUCCCCGUGCGUGUGGUUAACUCUUGGAUCUGGAGCUCUGCGCUCAGACAAUUGUGGCUGGGAGACGAGACCUACCUGAGUCACUGUCCAUCCUGCUGUCGUUUAGGGGAGACUGAGGCCAGGCGCGUGCCCCGGGCAGUAAGAUGCAGCAAGCAAGACUGAGUGACGUUACCCAUCCCCCCAGCUAGUAGAGGGACAGGCAGAGGCAGGGUCUAAUCCGGGCUCCAGCAUUCCCACCGGCGCCACCUUCUCCCCGACCCUCCUCACCACGUGGAUGUGGCGCUUCUCCUCCUGCCACGUGUGCAGCUUCCAGCACGGCCCUGUGCACGGCUGCCCUCUGCUUUGGGUGAUUUCUUCUGGCCAGGCCUGUGUGACUGGCUGCUUUCUGAUCAUUUUAUCGUAGGGGGUGCUUUCCUGAUGGUACCCACUGUCCCUCUACCCCUUUCCACAAUGCUACCUUACGGAAUUUAAACAUUUUAUUAUUUUUUUAAUUGAGGUAAAAAAUAUAUACUAUUAAAUUAACCAAUGUAAAGCAAAUCAAGCAUUUAGUGCCUUGGUAAUAUUGUGUACAUGCCACCUCUCUCUUCUUUCAAAACAUUUCCAACAUCUCAAAAGGAAAUACCGUACCAACUCAGCACUUGUUCCCGAUUCUGCGUUCUGUCCCGAUGGAUUUACCUUUCCUGAAUGCCCUGUGUAAAUGGAACCGUACAAUAUGUGACCUUCUUUGUCCAGUUUAUUUCACUUCAAAACUUUGUCGAGAUUUAGCCACAUUACAGCACGUAGUGGCGUUUCAUUCCUUUAACGGAGAAACACUCCACAAUUUGAUUAUUAUUUGUUAUUUGUUAUUCUUAUUUGUUGGCAGAAUCUGGGCUGUUUCAAACUCAUUUGAAGAGUAACUUACCCGAAACACUGGACUCCUUGACUCGUCUAUCAGAUGUCUCUCUUUUUUCUGCCUUUUUGUUGGUAUAUUUUUGUCAUGCAUCAUAAUCCACUCUUCGUGGGAACUGUAUCAUACUGCAUCUGGAUCUCUCUCAGUUCUUCCCCUCCCCUCCCUUCCCACGUGCCUCUCUACACUGAUUCGCAAGUGUUGUGAGUCCGGACCUGACUGUCACUCUGUCUCUGAUGACUCUGCAUGCAGAAAGUGCUGAGUCAGGCACUGAUAAGCAACAACGCCGGAACACACCUCCACCCCGAGGAGGCGGGGCCGUCACUGCCCACAGAUUUCCUCCAAAGCGCGCUGCUCGGGCUCUACUUUUCCACGCUGCUACCCUCUUCAGGAACACUUUCUACAUAGAACCUCGACCUUCAUUGCCCGAGGGUGGACCAAAGCUAGUUUUCAGACAGCGUGCAAGACUCCCCAAGCCUUUCGGAGCACAAAAUCAAUCUUGGAUGAGUAUGAACAAUGCUACUCUCCCUGAGUGUUGCUUUGGUAGGUUUGGGGUGGGUCUUCUACAUAAAAUGCUCACUACCAUGCUGCCAACCACGAAACAGGGCAGGGUACCCUGGCAGUCUGCACUCAUGGGGACCAAGCUCCAGCGUGGACUCAGGUGGUGAAGAGCUUUGCAGAAUCGUACACCGGUCAUUCAGCAGGGCUGGGAGUGGAAGGGAGGUCUAACUCAAAGGAGAUAAAGCGGCAGAUAUACGUAAGAGGAACAAGUCUGAAGACCUAAUGCACGGCGUGAGGCCCACAGUUACCAGCAUUGUGCUGCAGUCGGGAAUUUUGCCACGUGGUCCGAUGCAAAUUGUUCCAGCCCUGAGUGCAGGACAGGUACUGCGCCACAGGGUGACUAUAUUAGUCUGUCACUGCGGUAGGAAUUACAACAUGUGUGUCUCAUGAUAUCAUUUUAUAUACCUUAAAAAUAAGUACACUAUGAAAUUUGUUUAAGAAAUAAAAAUUAAUAAAACAUCAAUACCUUGGCCUAACUCCUACACUGCAGGGAAUAAGCAUUAGGAUUUAAAAAGAAAUCUUCAGGCGAUUCUGAGGGACAGCCACUGUCCACCACCACUGGCUUAGAGCAUUGCUCUCAAUUUGUUUGCUAGAAUUAAACCACUUGUGGAGAUUUUUGAUGCUUAUAUUAAA